This 71-nucleotide transfer RNA is filed under the name Loxodonta africana (African savanna elephant). It matches the Rfam family "tRNA". Rfam says of the family: Transfer RNA (tRNA) molecules are approximately 80 nucleotides in length. Lineage: Eukaryota; Metazoa; Chordata; Mammalia; Proboscidea; Elephantidae. The record is from Rfam by way of RNAcentral.
GCAGUGGUGGUUCAGUGGUAGAGUUCCUGCCCUCCUUGCGGGAGACCGGGGUUCAAUUCCUGGCCAGUGUA